Molecule: long non-coding RNA, 2989 nt
Organism: Mus musculus (house mouse)
Lineage: Eukaryota; Metazoa; Chordata; Mammalia; Rodentia; Muridae
Product: predicted gene, 52919
Exons: 4
Source: RefSeq, a predicted model, not a curated record
GGGAGUGGUGACCAUGUGAAUACUGUGGGGCAGAGGGAAAUGCAUGUUCGAAGUCCUUAAGGUGGAACAAGAUAGGUCGUGCUGGGUCUGCAAUGUGGUAUCCACUAUAGCUAGAGAGCCAUGUUCUGUUUCUCCCUAGGUGCAGAGAAAUGGUCAGUGAGAUGAGGAUCUUAGGUAGAGAAUUUUCCAGCAGCCUCAAGGCCACCUCUCCAGUGGUGAGGAGAAGACCCAGGAUUCUCACAGAGCUGGACAAGUGCUGUGUCACUGAGCUACACCACCAGCCCUUGGGUCUUAUCAUAAAUAAACAAGACGUCACUCUUGAAGAGAAUUCUUUGAGGAUUAAUGAAGACAGCAACCAAAAAUGAAGUUUUCCAUGAGCAUGCUCACAGCCUGACUGCCUCCCAAGCCAUGUUCCCCAGCUACGGUUGGAGAAUGUCUUCAAAGAAAUCCAGUCAACCUCUUUUGAUUUUGGCCACAGCUGCAUACUGAGCAUUGAGUAGUCGCCUUGUCUCUCGCCUUUCUCUUCUCCCUAGUGAAGAACAAAAAUAAACACAAUAAGCCUUCUACAAGGCUGUGCUCAGUGGCACACACCUGGAGUCCCAGCAUCGAGGAGUGGAUGGGGAGAGUCAGGGGUUGUUCAAGGUCAUCCUCAGUUACAAAGUGAGGCUGAAGCCAACCUGGGCUACACGAGGCCUUGUUCCAAGAAACCAAAACUAAACAAAUGCAUGGACAAAGAAACGAACAAAGAAAAAUGAAUCUUACAUAAAAUAUGGGUCCUAGAAAAGAACUGGUUGAGCCCUUUGGGUGCCACUCCCUGCAUUACUUAAAUAUGAGGGGAUCUUCUGCCUCAUGAAUCACCCCAUACCUGCCUGCCCACACCCACAUUUCCCCCCACGAAACACUUCUUACCCAGACAGUGACUGUCCAGGCCAGUGUGCCGUUGUGUGCAUGUGUGCUUCUCCCAUCUCCAUGUUUAGGAAAAAUCUCAAACUGUUCAUGGAAGAGGGGAAUCCUAUAGAAGUUGUACCACAUGGAUCUCUGUCCCCCAGCCUUGUCAGGUGACUGGAGAAAACCUAAUGGGGGAAUUUCAGAAGCUCAAGCAUCCUUGCUGCAUGAGAAUAGACAACACACACAUACACACACACACACACACACACACACACCAGCAUGGUUUGCUGCAGCUCUCUAACAAGGCCUGAUUAGCAUUCCCCUUUCAAGGACUCCUUCAACAAUCCAGCUGUACUGAUUGUGGGCAGCGAAAUGGAAUCAAGUUCAGUGGUGACUCAGGAAGGCAGCUGAUGGGGAGAGAGGCAAGGCAAAAAAAGACUGAAGGCUUUUAUAGCCUGGAGAGACUGUUCCAAUCAAAGGGAUUGAGGAGACCCUUGGAGAUUAUAGACACAGACUUAAAUGCACACAAUGAGAAUGGAGAGAAAAGUGCCUCAUACUAGUGAUACUGAGAAAGACAAAAAAAGAAAAAAAGAAAGAAAAAGCUAGAAGAACACACCUAGAAAGAUGCUUCCUAGAGCAAGGAAUGGAAUGGAAAAGACUGGAGUUUUAGAAAAUGAAAAGGUGUGCAUCCGUGAAGAGCUGUCCUGCAACCACUCUUGCCUCUGGAUUGAACCACAAUGCCUGUCUGCAGAUGCACUGUGCCAGUGGCUUUGAGAAUUCGGGAUCCUGUCACUGAUUCCUCCCCAGAUGCUGGGAUGGAGCUCAAGACCCCAUAAGCACUACGAGAGGAUCAUAUUCCCAGUCCACAGGUCCAGGCUUUUUGUCCCUCUUGCUGCUCAUGGGUCAUUCUGAUCAAGUGCCUACUGUGCUACAUGCUGGUGCAGCAUCUUGGUGGACACGUGUAAAUUGUGAGCAUCCUCCGAGUGUCUCUCCCUCUCCAGCUAGGAUCUUGCUGAGGGAGAGGUAUGUAUCUCAUUCUCUCUCCCAAUAUAACUCAGCUUCAGACUCAGCCUUGUUUGGGGUAGUAAUUAACACUGCCUUUCCUGAGCCCUCUGACACUCAACGAUCCUCUGAGCCUAUCUUCAAAGGAGAAUGUCAUAGAUUGUGGCUGUCAGAAGAGGACUCUGGGGUCACUUACUACAGCUUCUCAUGUUGACAGGAAUCCUUCUGUCACACCAAAAAGGUGGUCUCACAUCUUAAUCAAGGGCAAUCACAAUGUCACCCACUGUCACUGUUAAGGUACUGGUCCUGAAAGGCCGAACAUCCUAGUUACUUGCUGCUAACCAUACACAAAGCAACUAAACCCAAACAGGUUAAGUCAGCUUCCAUAGCCUCACAAACCAGAAUAGGGUUUAUUUUGGCCUGCUUAUUUAAGAGCAAGCUUGGGAAACCAAACAAACACCUCCAAGUUACAGGCAGUCUGGUAAAUAUGGAACAGUCUUCCUCCAGAAUCUUUGGGUUAAACUUUGUCUGAAUGUUUACAGCUACUCUCACUUCUUGAGUUCUGGAAGCAGCUUCUUCAGUUUCCCAGCCAACCCCCCUUGUGUCUUUCAACCCAGACAGGUAGGAAUCUUCCACCAUGGCCCAAUCAACUCUUCCUGCACCAGCACCACUUGUCCUCAGUGAAGGGGAGGGAAGAGCUUGCCUGUCAUUUCUCAUGGGCUUGCCCACACUUGAGCUGUCAGGCCUUCCUGGGAAAAUGGCUCCUGUCCGGGAGUGGGUGUGUGUGUCCACAGCUCCAUUCCCCAUGGCUAAGUGCCAAGGAACGAAAGUGUCGGGGCCUUUGAAAUUGUCAGAGAAACUGAUUUCCUUGUCAGGUCUUGUCCUGUACAGUUAGAGGGCCAAAUUCUACUUUCGUGUUAGCUGCCACUCGGAUCAAAGGCCGAUGACAAGGAGUUGAAGGGCUUGUACCUGGUGUGCUUCAAGAUUUCCACAGCCCUGCAUUAGGGAGAGCUUCUGCCUUUCGGCUUCCUUGAACUCUCUUAUCCACCCUGGUUUGUGGGCAACCAUAUGAGGGGUCUGGGAGACAGUUUAGAGGAAU